AAACCUUGCAUACACUUGAGAGCUAUCACCCUCCAUGUGACCCGUGGAUAUGAAAUAUGAAAGAGACGAAGGAGAUCUUCCUAGGAGACUUAAUGAAUAUGUCUGACUUUGGCUACAACCAUUUCUCUGAUUUCUUUGCUUUUACCUCAUUCACACAUGUCAUGGCGGCACAACCAGUAAUAAUUCCCAGAUAUAAAAACCAAUACAGGAAAGAGCUUUAUCCUUCUCAUGCAUGAUUCUUCCUGACAAAAUAGAAACAAAAGGCAAAUCCGUAUCUAGUGACAGAUAAUGCCACAUUACAAUUAAUUAUUCUUUAAAUGCCAGAUGAUACAUGGUACUACCAACACGUUUACAACAUAACAGAAGGUAUUGUAAAAAGUCAUGUGAAGAUUUCCUUUCCCCAAUGGUAUAUGUCAAUAGAAAAUUGCAUAAAUGGUCGUUGUGAGGAAAUAAAGCCUAUGGUACAUCUGAUCUGGUUACCUUGAUCUUCCAUCGGACAAGAUAUCUUCACCAUCUCCACCACCUCUCUCACAGCCUUCUCAUGCUUUGGUGCAACUGGCCAUGCCCAACUUCUCAUCAUCCUUCCACCAGAAUCCUUUCCAUCCUUUCCAAGGUGCCUGGCUAAGGAGGCUAAAAAUUGCACUCUUAAGCACAAAACAUACAACAAUAUAAUUGAACCUAAGAAGCAUGAUGUCUGCAUAACUUACUCUCACCAUGUUUGUCAAAACUACCAUAAUACUACUGUGUAGCCAAUCAAAAACCUUGGUUACCUCUUUCCAUGAUCAGUGAGAAGGUCAAUAUGUACUCAGAUUAUUUUUUUCAUCACUGCAUCAUUAUGAACCCUUUGUUCUUUGCAUGAAGAAAGCUAUUGGCUUAAAGAACACUACAAUCUGGUGUUGUGUUGUUCAGUCGAAAUUGGAAAGUGUUGUGUUUCAGCUCUGUUCAUGCAUCAUUGAAUCCAACAAAUAACAUCAAAGAAUCCAACAAUCCGAGCAACGUUCAUGCAUCAUUGAAUAACAUUGAAAAUAGGAACCUAGAGGAUGGUAGAAGAAGAACAGACCUUACAGUUGCAGGGGCCAGAGUUACUUUGGUAAAAUUCAGCCUCCGUGCAGUGCAUCUCAGGUUCAUAGUCUGCAGUUGUGUAACUUCAGUGUCCAAACUAAUGUUAUAUAAUCUGUUAAUACGGAGAAAUUAUAGAAAAGCUCGAAAUUUCAGACGGAGGUAAACGAAUAAAUGGAUCUUCAAUAGCUAUACUAGUUGGUGUGAUUCAAACAGAUCAUAAUUGCAUAUAAAAUUGGAUUAGGCAUUCAUUUCAAAUCAGUUACAAUUCAUAAGAACCAUGGAUGAUUGCCAAAGUGAUGAAUGCCAAUCCAUGAAUGGGCAGACACUAACAACCCAGAUCAGAGAUUGGUGCAGCCUUCCUUGCUAAUUGUAUGGUACAGAAUUACUGCUUGCUUCAACCAAUUCGCGUAGUACAGCUUUGUAAGACAUAACCGAAGAACGAAGAAUCAGUUUAGGUACGGAAGGUGGAUGAUUUGCUUCUCCUAAUUAGCGUAAUACAGAUUUCCAUAUCUUACCCGAAGAAGGAAGAACAGGCUAUUUAAUCAGGUCCGACCGCAUUGAGAAUGAAAGGGAAACUUUGAACAGAUUCAGAAACCACUUUACUAACUCAAAUGAAAGGAAAAAAUGCAUGAUGGGGAUGAGGUUCUUGAGCAGAAUGGCACAUGACAAAUACACCACAUUGUUUUUAUGCAUCAAACCUGACACUCACAAGUCACAAAAUACCACUGCAGUCAUAGUUCUAAAAUGUAAUAAAACUAUGCUUAGAAUAUAUUUUUAUGGUAAAUCUAACUAUGGUGUUCCAGUUGUAUCAGUACAAUUAUAUAGCUGGUGAAGCAAAUACUAUAUCUUAAAUUUUAAGCUGCAAAAUAGAGGGGCUGUUUGGACUCUCUCCACUUUCCAACUCCACGCCGGAGCGGAGCAGGAUCUAGUUCUAAUUUGAGGAGUGGCUGGAAGGCCGCUCCGCUGGCUCCGGUCCGUGGCGAUUUGCCGAACAGGGCCAGAAUAUCAUGAUUGCCAUGAGAUCCGAUAAUGAAAGGUCAAUUAUCAUAAUCUUUUCAUAUAUAUGUACUAAGUGGUACUCAAGGUAUGGUGUCACUGUGAUAGCUCACAUAAAAUAAUUUGAUUAAAUAGUUGCAAGCUAAAGAAGUUUAGACCAUAUUAAAUAAUUCAGUUAAACAUUUACAUACAAAAGAGUUUCAACCGUUACCACUUAAUCUUGUUUUAUCGGCAGAGUUGGAACUCCACUCCUAAGUAAACAGAGACAACCGAGUUAAACAUCACAAAAAUAUAUCACAUCUUAUCAAUCUUGUGGAUCUGAAGUUUUUGAAACCAACUUUGGGACACCAAAACUUGCGUGCUAUAAAAUCUACAGAAGAAAGUUGAAACAAAGCAACAAUAAAUGAUAGAAGAAAGAGAGGCAUCUACCAGAAUCGAAG
This 2498-nucleotide long non-coding RNA is filed under the name Triticum aestivum (bread wheat). RNAcentral describes it as "long non-coding RNA (TAES_LNC015372)". Lineage: Eukaryota; Viridiplantae; Streptophyta; Magnoliopsida; Poales; Poaceae. The record is from RNAcentral.